RNAcentral lists this ribosomal RNA (468 nucleotides) under uncultured bacterium. RNAcentral's name for it is "partial 16S ribosomal RNA". It matches the Rfam family "Bacterial small subunit ribosomal RNA", at positions 28 to 507 of the family's 1533-position model. The record is from RNAcentral.
GAUGAACGCUGGCGGCGUGCUUAAUACAUGCAAGUCGAACGGAAAGGUCCUGCUUUUGUGGGGUUCUCGAUUGGCGAACGGGUGUGUAAAACGCGAGUAACCUCUCCCUGACUUUGGGAUAAAUCUAGGAAACUGGGGCGAUUACCGGAUAGGAUCUCCUGCAGCAUGUUGGGGGUUGGAGAGUGUCGGCUGUUGGGGAUGGACUCGCGGCUUAUCAGCUUGUUGGUGGGGUAGUGGCUUUCCAAGGCUUUGACGGGUAGCCGGCCUGAGAGGGUGGACGGCCACAUUGGUACUGAGAGACGGCCCAGACUCCUACGGGAGGCAGAAGUGGGGAAUAUUGCACAAUGGGCGGAAGCCUGAUGCAGCAACGCCGCGUGCGGGAUGACGGCCUUCGGGUUGUAAACCGCUUUCGCCUGUGACGAAGCGUGAGUGACGGUAAUGGGUAAAGAAGCACCGGCUAACUACGUG